This 383-nucleotide ribosomal RNA is filed under the name uncultured bacterium. Its description in RNAcentral is "bacterial SSU rRNA". It matches the Rfam family "Bacterial small subunit ribosomal RNA", at positions 131 to 507 of the family's 1533-position model. The record is from RNAcentral.
UUUACGUGGGGGAUAGGCGGUGGGAAACUGCCAGUAACUACCCCAUGUCGUUAAGGUUUGGCAUCAAAUUAUAACGAAAAUUACGGGUGGUAGAGGAUUGGUGUGCGUCCGAUUAGCUAGUUGGCGGGGUAACGGCCCACCAAGGCGACGAUCGGUAGGGGGUGUGAGAGCAUGGCCCCCCCACACGGGUACUGAGACACGGACCCGACUCCUACGGGAGGCAGCAGUAAGGAAUAUUGGACAAUGGGCGGAAGCCUGAUCCAGCCAUGCCGCGUGAAGGAAGAAUGCGCUCAGCGUUGUAAACUUCUUUUGAAUGGGAACAAUAACCUCCACGAGUUGGGGGCUUGAGGGUACCAUUAGAAUAAGCACCGGCUAACUCCGUG